This is a small nucleolar RNA of Hemicordylus capensis (graceful crag lizard), 134 nucleotides long. RefSeq annotates it as small nucleolar RNA SNORA5. Lineage: Eukaryota; Metazoa; Chordata; Lepidosauria; Squamata; Cordylidae. The transcript has a single exon. The record is from RefSeq and is a predicted model, not a curated record.
UGCAGUCUUGUCAGAUUCGGUGCUCUCCUGUUCUGUGGUGAGGACCGGCCUUGUGGCUGCCACAAAAACUUGUAGUUCAUGGGCCCCAGGUCUGUGCUGUUGGGCCUGGGGAUAAAAACAUGCUACAGACAAUG